This 205-nucleotide non-coding RNA is filed under the name Exiguobacterium artemiae. RNAcentral's name for it is "Exiguobacterium sibiricum T-box sequence". It matches the Rfam family "T-box leader". From Rfam's summary of the family: Uncharged tRNA acts as the effector for transcription antitermination of genes in the T-box leader family. T-boxes are found upstream of many aminoacyl-tRNA synthetase genes and some amino acid biosynthetic genes usually in Gram-positive bacteria. The anticodon of a specific tRNA base pairs to a specifier sequence within the T-box motif, and the NCCA acceptor tail of the tRNA base pairs to a conserved bulge in the T-box antiterminator hairpin. The record is from RNAcentral. Lineage: Bacteria; Bacillati; Bacillota; Bacilli; Caryophanales.
GAGAACACAGUGAAGAAGAGUAGUACAUCUGAUCACCACUUACAGAGAGUCCAUGGACGGUGGAAAUGGACAGUCGGAACAGAUGGAAUGGACUUCGGAGUGGCUGAUUCGAAAUCAUGUAGAAUCAGACGGGUCUGCCCGUUACAGCAAAUGAGCGGCUAGUGUUCUAGCAACUUGGGUGGCAACGCGAUGACUCGUCCCUUGA